This 864-nucleotide ribosomal RNA is filed under the name uncultured bacterium. RNAcentral describes it as "bacterial SSU rRNA". It matches the Rfam family "Bacterial small subunit ribosomal RNA", at positions 14 to 906 of the family's 1533-position model. The record is from RNAcentral.
AGAUCAUGGACUCAGAGCGAACGUUGGCGGCAGGCUUAACACAUGCAAGUCGAGCAGGCGUAGCAAUACGUCAGCGGCAGACGGGUGAGUAACGCGUGGGAACGUACCUUUUGGUUCGGAACAACUGAGGGAAACUUCAGCUAAUACCGGAUAAGCCCUUACGGGGAAAGAUUUAUCGCCGAAAAGAUCGGUCCGCGUCUGAUUAAGCUAGUUGGUGAGGGUAAUGGCUCACCAAGGCGACGAUCAGUAGCUGGUCUGAGAGGAUGAUCAGCCACAUUGGGGACUGAGACACGGCCCAAACUCCUACGGGAGGCAGCAGUGGGGAAUAUUGGACAAUGGGCGAAAGCCUGAUCCAGCCAUGCCGCGUGAGUGAUGAAGGCCCUAGGGUUGUAAACCUCUUUUAGUAGGGAAGAAGCGCAAGUGACGGUACCUGCAGAAAAAGCACCGGCUAACUACGUGCCAGCAGCCGCGGUAAUACGUAGGGUGCAAGCGUUGUCCGGAAUUAUUGGGCGUAAAGAGCUCGUAGACGGCUUGUCGCGUCUGCUGUGAAAACCCGAGGCUCAACCUCGGGCUUGCAGUGGGUACGGGCAGGCUAGAGUGCGGUAGGGGAGAUUGGAAUUCCUGGUGUAGCGGUGGAAUGCGCAGAUAUCAGGGAGGAACACCAAUGGCGAAGGCAGAUCUCUGGGCCGUAACUGACGCUGAGGAGCCGAAAGCGUUGGGGAGCGAACAGGAUUAGAUACCCUGGGUAGUCCACGCCGUAAACGUUGGGAACUAGAUGUAGGGACCAUUCCACGGUUUCUGUGUCGCAGCUAACGCAUUAAGUUCCCCGCCUGGGGAGUACGGUCGCAAGACUAAAUCUCAAAU